RNAcentral lists this ribosomal RNA (253 nucleotides) under uncultured bacterium. RNAcentral describes it as "partial 16S ribosomal RNA". It matches the Rfam family "Bacterial small subunit ribosomal RNA", at positions 524 to 776 of the family's 1533-position model. The record is from RNAcentral.
UACGUAGGGUGCGAGCGUUGUCCGGAAUUAUUGGGCGUAAAGAGCUUGUAGGCGGUUUGUCGCGUCUGCUGUGAAAACUGGAGGCUCAACCUCCAGCCUGCAGUGGGUACGGGCAGACUAGAGUGCGGUAGGGGAGAUUGGAAUUCCUGGUGUAGCGGUGGAAUGCGCAGAUAUCAGGAGGAACACCGAUGGCGAAGGCAGAUCUCUGGGCCGUAACUGACGCUGAGGAGCGAAAGCGUGGGGAGCGAACAGG